Molecule: ribosomal RNA, 2266 nt
Filed under: freshwater metagenome
Description: bacterial LSU rRNA
Rfam family: Bacterial large subunit ribosomal RNA
Source: RNAcentral
CUGUGAAUGGCCUAGAGUAGGGUCAGGCUCGAGAAACCUGGCCUGAACAUGGGGGGACCACCCUCCAAGCCUGAGUACUCCUUGACAACCGAUAGUGAACCAGUAAGGCGACUGAACGGUGAAAAGCACUCCUAUAAGGAGAGUGAAAAGUACCUGAAACCAUGUGCUUACACAGCGGUCACGGCCCGUAAGGGUUGUGGCGUGCCUUUUGCAUAAUGAGCUGGCGAGUUACUCUUUGCGGCAAGGCUAAGCCGUUACGCGGCGCAGCCGAAGGGAAACCGAGUCUGACAAGGGCGAAAAGUCGCAGGGGGUAGGCGCGAAACCGGUUGAUCUACCCAUGGGCAGGUUGAAGGGCGGGUAACACCGCCUGGAGGACCGAAGCCGUGAACGUUGAAAAGUUCUGGCAUGACCUGUGGGGAGGGCUUACAGUGCAAUCAUAACCGGAGAUAUCUCGUUCUCCUCGAAAUAGUUUUGGGACUAGCCUCAGCUAUGCAAGACACGGGGGUAGAGCUACUGAAUGGAUUCGAGGGCCUUCCCGGCUACUCAGUCCAAUCAAACUCCGAAUACCGUGUCUGAAGCGCUGGGAGUAAGUCUGCGGGCGAUAAUGUCCGUGGUCAAAAGGGAAACAACCCAGACCAUCUGAUAAGGCCCCUAAACGACACUCAGUUACUAAGGUAGUCAGAUUGCUGUGACAGCCAGGAUGUUGGCUUAGAAGCAGCCACCAUUUAAAAAGUGCGUAACAGCUUACUGGUCGAGGAAUCUGGCGCCGAUAAUUAUCGGGAAUAAGUGUCGUGCCGAAUCAGUGGACUCGAAAGAGUGGUAGAGGAGCGUCGCUAUCAGCGUUGAAGCUUUCCCGGCAAGGGUUGGUGGAGCGAUAGCAAGUGAAUAUGCCAGCUUGAGUAACGAUUAAUGGAGUGAGAAUCUCCAUCGCCGAAUACCCAAGGGUUCCCGGGCAAGGUCAAUCCGCCCGGGGUUAGGCGGAUCCUAAGGCAAGGCCGAAAGGCGUAGUCGAUGGACAGCCGGUCAAUAUUCCGGCCCCCUUGCAUGAGGUUCGAUGCGUGCGUGACGGAUCCCAAAGUUCAACCAGACUGUGAAGUGUCCAGGUUGGGUGGCGGGGUUCCAAGAAAAACCGCAACGCUACGAAUGCAAGGUCCGUACCAAAACUGACACAGGUGGGUGUGGUGAAUAACCUCAGGCGCUCGAGAAAACGGUCGUGAAGGAACUAGGCAAAUUGACCCCGUACGUUCGCAAUAAGGGGGCCCUACUCGCAAGAGAGGGCGCAGAGAAAAGGCUCUGGGAACUGUUUAUCAAAAACACAGCACAGUGCUAACUCGUAAGAGGACGUAUACUGUGUGACGCCUGCCCGGUGCUGGAACGUCAAAGAAGCUGGUUAGCGCAAGCGAAGCUAGCGACUGAAGCGCCAGUAAACGGCGGCCGUAACUCUGACGGUCCUAAGGUAGCGAAAUUCCUUGUCGGGUAAGUUCCGACGCGCAUCAAUGGCGUAAUCACUGGAGCACUGUCUCCACGACCGACUCGGUGAAAUAGUAGUGGCGGUGAAGAUGCCGCCUACCCGUGGCAAGACGGAAAGACCCCGUGGACCUUUACUGUACGCUUGCAGUGGUCAUGGAUUUGAACUGCGUAGGAUAGGUGGGAGACUUUGAAGUCCCGAUCUCGGUUGGGACGGAGUCAUUGGUGAAAUACCACCCUGUUUGGAUUCGUGGCCUAACCUGGAUACCCGUGAAGCCGGGCCAGGGACACUGCAUGCCGGGCAGUUUGACUGGGGCGGUCUCCUCCCAAACAUUAACGGAGGAGUGCAAAGGUUGGCUCAGCGCGGUUGGAAACCGCGCACAGAGUGCAAGAGCACAAGCCAGCUUUAGUGCGAGUCAUACAGGACCAGCACUCACGAAAGUGGGCUCUAGUGAUCCGGCGAUCCCGUGUGGAAGGGUCGUCGCUCAACGGAUAAAAGGUACCCCGGGGAUAACAGGCUGAUCGCUCCCGAGCGUCCAUAGCGGCGGAGCGGUUUGGCACCUCGAUGUCGGCUCUUCGCAUCCUGGGGCUGAAGGCGGUCCCAAGGGUUGGGCUGUUCGCCCAUUAAAGCGGAACGCGAGCUGGGUUCAGACCGGCGUGAGCCAGGUCGGUCCCUAUCUGUCAUGGGCGCAGGAAUACUGACGGGAUACAUCUUUAGUACGAGAGGAUUGGGAUGGACGUACCCCUGGUGUGCCAGUUGGACCGCUCGGUCCACAGCUGGGUAGCUAAGUACGGCAUU